RNAcentral lists this ribosomal RNA (497 nucleotides) under uncultured bacterium. Its description in RNAcentral is "partial 16S ribosomal RNA". It matches the Rfam family "Bacterial small subunit ribosomal RNA", at positions 28 to 507 of the family's 1533-position model. The record is from RNAcentral.
GAUGAACGCUGGCGGCGUGCCUAAUACAUGCAAGUCGAGCGAACAGACGAGGAGCUUGCUCCUCUGACGUUAGCGGCGGACGGGUGAGUAACACGUGGAUAACCUACCUAUAAGACUGGGAUAACUUCGGGAAACCGGAGCUAAUACCGGAUAAUAUAUUGAACCGCAUGGUUCAAUAGUGAAAGACGGUUUUGCUGUCACUUAUAGAUGGAUCCGCGCCGCAUUAGCUAGUUGGUAAGGUAACGGCUUACCAAGGCAACGAUGCGUAGCCGACCUGAGAGUGGGAUAGGCGACACUAGAACUGAUGCAAGGAGAAGAGAACUACGGGAGGAAGAAGGAGGGAAUAGUGAUGAAGGGGCGAAAGACGGAAGGAUCAAGUGAGAGGAAGGGAUAAAGGGCUGAGGAUAGUAAAAAUCUGUUAUGAGGCAAGAACAGAUGUGUAAGGGAAUGUGCACACCUUGACGGGAGAUAAUCAGAAAGACAAGGCUAGGUAAGUG